Prinia subflava (tawny-flanked prinia) is the source of this 995-nucleotide long non-coding RNA. RefSeq lists it as uncharacterized. The record is from RefSeq and is a predicted model, not a curated record. Lineage: Eukaryota; Metazoa; Chordata; Aves; Passeriformes; Cisticolidae. The transcript has 3 exons.
UGUAUCACUGGGCUAACCUACUGUUUUUUGGUCUCUGGGAGUUUCUCCUAGAGGGGGCACAUAACGCGAGGUUUUGGGGGAGGUAAAAGACAGAUCUAGGGGCAGUUUGUUUCUCUUGCUCUCGGCAUUGGAGAGGACAGUCGGGCUGCUGCUCUCUGCGGAGAGUUCACGGUCAUCACUCCGUCCCGUCCUGGGAAAUCUACCAUCAUCUGCUCAUCUGCUCAGGUGCCCAGGGAUUCUGAGCUCGCCUCCUCCUGCCCUGCUGAGCCGGCCCUGCCUCCACUGCUGCUGUUUUCUUUGGCACUGCUUUGAGGCUUUCUGCUAUGCUGUAGCCCUGCACUGCACUGCCCUGCCAGGACAUCCCUGCCAUUCCAGCUACCAUCGCAGAGCUCCUGAUCUCAUCCACCAGCCCGGGACUUUGCACCGUUCCAGCUCAGCCUCUUGGAGUCCUGCAAGAGCACCGAGAUCAAACUGCCCUGGGCUUUGUGAAAGAAAGCCCUCGAGGGCUAUAAGUGUGGGGAAGGGUCCGUAGCUUGCUUGGAGCCUGAUUUGAGUGGACUCAAGACAAGGACUCUUGACGAUGCUAAUACAGCAACUAUGGUCCUAAAGGACAUAGGACCUCCGUCAGUCCGGGGCCCCCCUGGCCAGCAGAGCCCAUGUUUUGGGGUGAACACGGUACGGGACGGGUCCCAUAAGCCAGGCUAAGGUGGCGGGACACCCCCCAGUGCCCUUGGAGUCGGGAACAAGUGGCAAGAGACGCUCUGCCCAGCGCCGCAGUUCGCCCCGCCCACCCCACUAAGUUACAGCGGCGAGACGGAACAGCCGUGCAGUUUUUGUGUCUGGAGGUAGAUAUUGGACAAAUAGCUUUUAAAGACAUCAGAAAUAUGGCCGCACAGCUAUCUGUUCACCAAAAGAGUGUAUUAAAACAGCUUAAAAAUAUUUUAAUAAUGUUAGAAUCACUAAAAAGUUAGUAACACAUUUUGUCUGCUGGCUAU